Molecule: long non-coding RNA, 381 nt
Filed under: Rosa chinensis
Lineage: Eukaryota; Viridiplantae; Streptophyta; Magnoliopsida; Rosales; Rosaceae
Description: sRNA RchiOBHm_Chr2g0137151
Source: RNAcentral
CGGGUGUUAGGGUGGUUCGUUCACCCAAAUUCUAUGUGUCGGAAUCUAAUAUAAUGUGGAUACAAAUCCCUACUUUGGUGGUAGUCAUAUCCAAGGCGGUUCAAGGCUCAAGGACCGAAAUUCUCUUUCAUGGUAUUCCUACUCCGGUUCAAGGGCCGUAAGAACUCACUUGGCAUGAAUUAGAGCCGGUUCAAGGGUCACUAAUUCACAUCAAGAGGCGUAACGAUCGAGGAAUUAGACUACUAAGCGACCCGCCCGCGCAAUCACGCAACGGGUGUAAAUCACCAUGCUUAUAACCCCUCGAAUACGAAAUUGAAGGUUUCUAGCUUAGGAAUUAGAGGGGGUCAAGCCUCUAACUCCGUUCUAGACAUGCUCAUCUAC